Molecule: ribosomal RNA, 500 nt
Filed under: uncultured bacterium
Lineage: Bacteria
Description: partial 16S ribosomal RNA
Rfam family: Bacterial small subunit ribosomal RNA
Source: RNAcentral
AUUGAACGCUGGCGGCAUGCCUUACACAUGCAAGUCGAACGGCAGCGCGGGGGCAACCCUGGCGGCGAGUGGCGAACGGGUGAGUAAAAUAUCGGAACGUGCCCUAAAGUGGGGGAUAACGUAGCGAAAGUUACGCUAAUACCGCAUAAGAUCUAAGGAUGAAAGCGGGGGAUCGCAAGACCUCGUGCUUUAGGAGUGGCCGAUAACUGAUUAGCUAGUUGGUGGGGUAAAGGCUCACCAAGGCGACGAUCAGUAGCUGGUCUGAGAGGACGACCAGCCACACUGGGACUGAGACACGGCGCAGACUCCUACGGGAGGCAGCAGUGGGGAAUUUUGGACAAUGGGGGCAACCCUGAUCCAGCAAUGCCGCGUGUGUGAAGAAGGUCUUCGGGUUGUAAAGCACUUUUGUUCGGGACGAAACGGUUUGGGCUAAUACCCUGAGCUAAUGACGGUACCGAAAGAAUAAGCACCGGCUAACUACGUGCCAGCAGCCGCCGUAA